AUGGACGAAAGUCUGAUGGAGCAACGCCGCGUGAGUGAAGAAGGGUUUCGGCUCGUAAAACUCUGUUGUUAAAGAAGAACAUAUCUGAGAGUAACUGUUCAGGUAUUGACGGUAUUUAACCAGAAAGCCACGGCUAACUACGUGCCAGCAGCCGCGGUAAUACGUAGGUGGCAAGCGUUGUCCGGAUUUAUUGGGCGUAAAGCGAGCGCAGGCGGUUUUUUAAGUCUGAUGUGAAAGCCUUCGGCUCAACCGAAGAAGUGCAUCGGAAACUGGGAAACUUGAGUGCAGAAGAGGACAGUGGAACUCCAUGUGUAGCGGUGAAAUGCGUAGAUAUAUGGAAGAACACCAGUGGCGAAGGCGGCUGUCUGGUCUGUAACUGACGCUGAGGCUCGAAAGUAUGGGUAGCAAACAGGAUUAGAUACCCUGGUAGUCCAUACCGUAAACGAUGAAUGCUAAGUGUUGGAGGGUUUCCGCCCUUCAGUGCUGCAGCUAACGCAUUAAGCAUUCCGCCUGGGGAGUACGGCCGCAAGGCUGAAACUCAAAGGAAUUGACGGGGGCCCGCACAAGCGGUGGAGCAUGUGGUUUAAUUCGAAGCUACGCGAAGAACCUUACCAGGUCUUGACAUACUAUGCAAAUCUAAGAGAUUAGACGUUCCCUUCGGGGACAUGGAUACAGGUGGUGCAUGGUUGUCGUCAGCUCGUGUCGUGAGAUGUUGGGUUAAGUCCCGCAACGAGCGCAACCCUUAUUAUCAGUUGCCAGCAUUAAGUUGGGCACUCUGGUGAGACUGCCGGUGACAAACCGGAGGAAGGUUG
RNAcentral lists this ribosomal RNA (812 nucleotides) under Lactiplantibacillus paraplantarum. Its description in RNAcentral is "bacterial SSU rRNA". It matches the Rfam family "Bacterial small subunit ribosomal RNA", at positions 371 to 1176 of the family's 1533-position model. Lineage: Bacteria; Bacillati; Bacillota; Bacilli; Lactobacillales; Lactobacillaceae. The record is from RNAcentral.